GACGAACGCUGGCGGCGUGCCUAAUACAUGCAAGUAGAACGCUGAAGGAGGAGCUUGCUUCUCCGGAUGAGUUGCGAACGGGUGAGUAACGCGUAGGUAACCUGCCUGGUAGCGGGGGAUAACUAUUGGAAACGAUAGCUAAUACCGCAUAAGAGUAGAUGUCGCAUGACAUUUGCUUAAAAGGUGCAACUGCACCACUACCAGAUGGACCUGCGUUGUAUUAGCUAGUUGGUGAGGUAACGGCUCACCAAGGCAACGAUACAUAGCCGACCUGAGAGGGUGAUCGGCCACACUGGGACUGAGACACGGCCCAGACUCCUACGGGAGGCAGCAGUAGGGAAUCUUCGGCAAUGGACGGAAGUCUGACCGAGCAACGCCGCGGGAGUGAAGAAGGGUUUCGGAUCGUAAAGCUCUGUUGUAAGAGAAGAACGAGUGUGAGAGUGGAAAGUUCACACUGUGACGGUAUCUUACCAGAAAGGGACGGCUAACUACGUG
This 495-nucleotide ribosomal RNA is filed under the name uncultured bacterium. RNAcentral describes it as "partial 16S ribosomal RNA". It matches the Rfam family "Bacterial small subunit ribosomal RNA", at positions 28 to 507 of the family's 1533-position model. The record is from RNAcentral.